CACGUAGGGCGCGAGCGUUGUCCGGAAUUAUUGGGCGUAAAGCGCGCGUAGGUGGCCUCAUAAGUCCGCUGUGAAAGUCAAAGGCUCAACCUUUGAAAGCCGGUGGAUACUGUGGGGCUAGAGUACGGAAGAGGCGAGUGGAAUUCCUGGUGUAGCGGUGGAAUGCGCAGAUAUCAGGAGGAACACCAAUAGCGAAGGCAGCUCGCUGGGACGUUACUGACACUGAGGCGCGAAAGCGUGGGGAGCGAACAGG
This 253-nucleotide ribosomal RNA is filed under the name uncultured bacterium. RNAcentral describes it as "partial 16S ribosomal RNA". It matches the Rfam family "Bacterial small subunit ribosomal RNA", at positions 524 to 776 of the family's 1533-position model. The record is from RNAcentral.